This 472-nucleotide ribosomal RNA is filed under the name uncultured bacterium. RNAcentral's name for it is "bacterial SSU rRNA". It matches the Rfam family "Bacterial small subunit ribosomal RNA", at positions 355 to 825 of the family's 1533-position model. The record is from RNAcentral.
UGGGGAAUAUUGGACAAUGGGGGAAACCCUGAUCCAGCGACGCCGCGUGUGUGAAGAAGGCCUGCGGGUUGUAAAGCACUUUCGGUGGGAACGAAAUAUGCCGGGCUAAUACCCCGGUAGGCUGACGUUACUCAAUGAAGAAGCACCGGCUAACUCUGUGCCAGCAGCCGCGGUAAUACAGAGGGUGCGAGCGUUAAUCGGAAUUACUGGGCGUAAAGCGUGCGCAGGCGGUUGUGUAAGUCAGAUGUGAAAUCCCCGGGCUCAACCUGGGAAUUGCAUUUGAGACUGUACGGCUAGAGUGUGUCAGAGGGGGGUAGAAUUCCACGUGUAGCAGUGAAAUGCGUAGAUAUGUGGAGGAAUACCGAUGGCGAAGGCAGCCCCCUGGGAUAACACUGACGCUCAUGCACGAAAGCGUGGGGAGCAAACAGGAUUAGAUACCCCUGUAGUCCCUGAGCGGGCUGGCAAGGCGCAU